This 740-nucleotide small RNA is filed under the name Pan troglodytes (chimpanzee). Its description in RNAcentral is "retained intron". The record is from RNAcentral. Lineage: Eukaryota; Metazoa; Chordata; Mammalia; Primates; Hominidae.
AGUCCUGAGUCGUGCCACCAAAGUUGGCUGACACGUCAAGAUGCCCUGGGCUUUGUCUGCAGGUGCUGGAGCCACAGUAACGAGGAGUCCUUCAGCCCCUGCUCCUUGGCCUGGCUUUACCUGCACUUGCGGCUUCUCUGGGGUGCUAUCCUGCACUCAGCCCUGAUCUACUUUCUGGGAACCUUUCUGCUAUCCAUAUUGAUCGCCUGGACUGUGCAGUAUUUCCAGUCUGUCUCAGCAAGCGAUCCCCCUCCAAGACCAUCCCAGGCCUCCCCAGACACUGCCACGUCCACUGCAAGUCCAGCUGUGACUCCAGCUGCAGAUGCCUCUGACCAAGACCAGCCCACAGUAACUAAUAACCCGGAGCCACGUGGGUGAACUGUGCACUCCAGUUCUCUCCAGAUGAGAGAGAAUCUUUUCAACAGCUGGUAUUGGGAAGCUGGGGCCAGGGCAUGAUCCUGAUAAACACCUUAAAUGUCUUGUCAACUGGAUGCAAAUUUUGCAAUUGGUGUCAUUUUUUUUAAAAGUCAAAUUACAAGGAAGUACCCAGAUCAGGCAGUGGUAAUACCAAAGGUCAUCAAACACAUACAAGGAACAUCUUGAUCAUAGGGCAUGUGGGGAAGUUUACUGGGCCAUCACAGACUUUUGUUCUAGUGACUGUAUGUAUUAGGAGUCGUAGCUUGCCCUAUGGCAGAUCUGGAUUCUUAUACACUAAGAUGUGUCUUAAGAAUCAUAGUGCG